UUUCCGUAGGUGAAUCUGCGGAAGGAUCAUUAAAGUUAUAGUCCCCUGGCCCUCUGGGCUGGGGUCUUCUAUACCACCCUUUGUUUAUUACACCUUUGUUGCUUUGGCAGGCCUGCCCUCGGGCUGCUGGCUCCGGCCGGCGAGCGCCUGCCAGAGGACCUAAACUCUGUUUGUCCAUAAUGUCUGAGUACUAUAUAAUAGUUAAAACUUUCAACAACGGAUCUCUUGGUUCUG
RNAcentral lists this unclassified non-coding RNA (234 nucleotides) under plant metagenome. Its description in RNAcentral is "partial contains small subunit ribosomal RNA, internal transcribed spacer 1, and 5.8S ribosomal RNA". The record is from RNAcentral.